Molecule: ribosomal RNA, 497 nt
Filed under: uncultured bacterium
Lineage: Bacteria
Description: partial 16S ribosomal RNA
Rfam family: Bacterial small subunit ribosomal RNA
Source: RNAcentral
GAUGAACGCUGGCGGCGUGCCUAAUACAUGCAAGUCGAGCGAACGGACGAGAAGCUUGCUUUUCUGAUGUUAGCGGCGGACGGGUGGGUAACACGUGGAUAACCUACCUAUAAGACUGGGAUAACUUCGGGAAACCGGAGCUAAUACCGGAUAAUAUUUUGAACCGCAUGGUUCAUAAGUGAAAGACGGUCUUGCUGUCACUUAUAGAUGGAUCCGCGCUGCAUUAGCUAGUUGGUAAGGUAACGGCUUACCAAGGCAACGAUGCAUAGCCGACCUGAGAGGGUGAUCGGCCACACUGGAACUGAGACACGGUCCAGACUCCUACGGGAGGCAGCAGUAGGGAAUCUUCCGCAAUGGGCGAAAGCCUGACGGAGCAACGCCGCGUGAGUGAUGAAGGUCUUCGGAACGUAAAACUCUGUUAUUAGGGAAGAACAUAUGUGUAAGUAACUGUGCACAUCUUGACGGUACCUAAUCAGAAAGCCACGGCUAACUACGUG